Small nucleolar RNA from Sorex araneus (European shrew), 133 nucleotides. Its record names the gene U8. It matches the Rfam family "U8 small nucleolar RNA". From Rfam's summary of the family: U8 is a member of the C/D class of snoRNA which contain the C (UGAUGA) and D (CUGA) box motifs. U8 is the RNA component of a small complex (the U8 snoRNP) which is required for accumulation of mature large subunit ribosomal RNAs, 5.8S and 28S rRNAs. U8 RNA has been identified in human, mouse, rat and Xenopus. The record is from Ensembl. NCBI's taxonomy places the organism in Eukaryota, Metazoa, Chordata, Mammalia, Eulipotyphla, Soricidae.
UCUUCAGGUAGGGUAAUUCUUACGGGGUCCUCUCUUUAGAGGGCAAAUGGAACAUGAUGAUUGGAGUUUAUAUGAUUCAUGAUUAAGGUCUGCAUGAUUAGGGCUCACAACACCCUAAUUGCUCUGAUCUGAU